Molecule: ribosomal RNA, 253 nt
Filed under: uncultured bacterium
Lineage: Bacteria
Description: partial 16S ribosomal RNA
Rfam family: Bacterial small subunit ribosomal RNA
Source: RNAcentral
UACAGAGGGUGCAAGCGUUAUUCGGAUUUACUGGGCGUAAAGGGCGCGUAGGCGGCUUCGUAAGUUUAAUGUGAAAUCCCAGGGCUCAACCCUGGAAGUGCAUUGAAUACUGCGAGGCUAGAGUAUUGGAGGGGUGGGUGGAAUUCCUGGUGUAGAGGUGAAAUUCGUAGAUAUCAGGAGGAACAUCAGCGGCGAAGGCGGCCCACUGGACAAUAACUGACGCUGAGGCGCGAAAGCGUGGGGAGCAAACAGG